RNAcentral lists this ribosomal RNA (248 nucleotides) under uncultured bacterium. RNAcentral's name for it is "partial 16S ribosomal RNA". It matches the Rfam family "Bacterial small subunit ribosomal RNA", at positions 524 to 770 of the family's 1533-position model. The record is from RNAcentral.
UACGUAGGGACCGAGCGUUGUCCGGAUUCAUUGGGCGUAAAGAGCUCGUAGGCGGCCACUCAAGUCGAAUGUGAAACCUCGAGGCUUAACCUCGAGCCUGCAUUUGAUACUGGGCGGCUAGAGUCUGGUAGGGGGAUCUGGAAUUCCUGGUGUAGCGGUGGAAUGCGCAGAUAUCGGGAAGAACACCCGUGGCGAAGGCGGUUCUCUGGGACGGUACUGGACGCUGAGGAGCGAAAGCGUGGGGAGGC